This 343-nucleotide long non-coding RNA is filed under the name Medicago truncatula (barrel medic). Its description in RNAcentral is "long non-coding RNA (MTRU_LNC005092)". Lineage: Eukaryota; Viridiplantae; Streptophyta; Magnoliopsida; Fabales; Fabaceae. The record is from RNAcentral.
AGGAACGAAUAUUUGAUGGAUUGAGUCUUGGAGCAAAAGAAAGGGGUUUUGGAGCUGAUUUGGUACGAAAAUACGAAGAUUCGGAGACAAAAAUAUAUCUCCCUCAAGUCAGAAACUUGGCACGGCCGUGCCACACUCUAGAACUACUUUUUCUGCUUUUGCUUAGAUUUUAAGCUACUCUGUUUUAGUUUACUUGUGGAACAUUCUAGUGAUUGCUUAGAUUUUAAGUCGAAUGUAAACUAUAAAUAGAGUAGCUAGCCAUCACAAAUAAUCAUCUUUUCUUGGAAUGCAAUAUGUGACAAUUGUCUUUCUAAUAAAAGUUCAUUUACUUUCUUGUUAUUUA